This 465-nucleotide ribosomal RNA is filed under the name uncultured bacterium. RNAcentral's name for it is "partial 16S ribosomal RNA". It matches the Rfam family "Bacterial small subunit ribosomal RNA", at positions 28 to 507 of the family's 1533-position model. The record is from RNAcentral.
GACGAACGCUGGCGGCGUGCUUAACACAUGCAAGUCGAACGGAAAGGCCCCUUUGGGGGUACUCGAGUGGCGAACGGGUGAGUAACACGUGAGUAACCUGCCCUUGACUUCGGGAUAACUUCAGGAAACUGGGGCUAAUACCGGAUAGGAAUCCUUGCUGCAUGGUGGGGGUUGGAAAGCUUCGGCGGUUUUGGAUGGACUCGCGGCUUAUCAGCUUGUUGGUGGGGUAGUGGCUUACCAAGGCUUUGACGGGUAGCCGGCCUGAGAGGGCGACCGGCCACAUUGGGACUGAGAUACGGCCCAGACUCCUACGGGAGGCAGCAGUGGGGAAUAUUGCACAAUGGGCGGAAGCCUGAUGCAGCAACGCCGCGGGCGGGAUGACGGCCUUCGGGUUGUAAACCGCUUUCAGCAGGGGCGAAGCUUGUGGUGACAGUACCUGCAGAAGAAGCACCGGCUAACUACGUG